CACGUGGAUAAUCUGCCCUUUACACAGACAUAACUCAGGGAAACUUGAGCUAAUAUCUGAUGAGGCCUCCGGGUCAAAGCUACGGCGGUAAAGGAUGAGUCUGCGUCUGAUUAGCUAGUUGGUAAGGUAAUGGCUUACCAAGGCGACGAUCAGUAACUGGUCUGAGAGGACGAUCAGUCACACUGGAACUGAGACACGGUCCAGACUCCUACGGGAGGCAGCAGUGAGGAAUUUUGGACAAUGGGGGAAACCCUGAUCCAGCGACGCCGCGUGUGGGAUGAAGGGGUUAUGCCCUGUAAACCACUGUCAGCAGAGAAGAAAAGGCUCUUUUAGAGCCCGGGACUGUAUCUGCAGAGGAAGGACCGGCUAACUACGUG
This 377-nucleotide ribosomal RNA is filed under the name uncultured bacterium. Its description in RNAcentral is "bacterial SSU rRNA". It matches the Rfam family "Bacterial small subunit ribosomal RNA", at positions 114 to 507 of the family's 1533-position model. The record is from RNAcentral.